UAGGGAAUCUUCCGCAAUGGACGCAAGUCUGACGGAGCAACGCCGCGUGAGUGAAGAAGGAUUUCGGUUCGUAAAACUCUGUUGUUAGAGAAGAACAGCGCAUAGAGUAACUGUUAUGCGUGUGACGGUAUCUAACCAGAAAGCCACGGCUAACUACGUGCCAGCAGCCGCGGUAAUACGUAGGUGGCAAGCGUUGUCCGGAUUUAUUGGGCGUAAAGCGAGCGCAGGCGGUCAAUUAAGUCUGAUGUGAAAGCCCCCGGCUCAACCGGGGAGGGUCAUUGGAAACUGGUUGACUUGAGUGCAGAAGAGGAGAGUGGAAUUCCAUGUGUAGCGGUGAAAUGCAUAAAUAUAUUGAGGAACACCAGUGGCGAAAGCUACUCACUAGUCUGUAACUAACGCUGAGGCUCGAAAGCGUGGGUAGCAAACAGG
RNAcentral lists this ribosomal RNA (429 nucleotides) under Bacteroidota bacterium. RNAcentral's name for it is "Bacteroidetes bacterium partial 16S ribosomal RNA". It matches the Rfam family "Bacterial small subunit ribosomal RNA", at positions 355 to 776 of the family's 1533-position model. Lineage: Bacteria; Pseudomonadati; Bacteroidota. The record is from RNAcentral.